AGAGUGUAAACGCUGCAGACUUGGUGUUGGAAGUCCUUUGGGGGCAUUCAGUGCCGGAGAGAAGUUGUUAAGUCUGCUACUUGGGGAGUACGUCCGCAAGGAUGAAACUUAAAGGAAUUGGCGGGGGAGCACCGCAACGGGAGGAGCGUGCGGUUUAAUUGGACUCAACGCCGGAAAUCUCACCGGAUAGGACAGACAUAUGAUAGUCGGGCUGAAGACUCUACUUGAUGAUCUGAGAGGUGGUGCAUGGCGUAGUCGUGU
This 261-nucleotide ribosomal RNA is filed under the name uncultured archaeon. RNAcentral describes it as "partial 16S ribosomal RNA". It matches the Rfam family "Archaeal small subunit ribosomal RNA", at positions 748 to 1009 of the family's 1478-position model. The record is from RNAcentral.